RNAcentral lists this ribosomal RNA (791 nucleotides) under marine bacterium CS-7. RNAcentral's name for it is "bacterial SSU rRNA". It matches the Rfam family "Bacterial small subunit ribosomal RNA", at positions 36 to 818 of the family's 1533-position model. The record is from RNAcentral.
CUGCGGCUGCUAUACAUGCAGUCGAGCGACAGACGAGGAGCUUGCUCCUCUGACGUUAGCGGCGGACGGGUGAGUAACACGUGGAUAACCUACCUAUAAGACUGGGAUAACUUCGGGAAACCGGAGCUAAUACCGGAUAAUAUAUUGAACCGCAUGGUUCAAUAGUGAAAGACGGUUUUGCUGUCACUUAUAGAUGGAUCCGCGCCGCAUUAGCUAGUUGGUAAGGUAACGGCUUACCAAGGCAACGAUGCGUAGCCGACCUGAGAGGGUGAUCGGCCACACUGGAACUGAGACACGGUCCAGACUCCUACGGGAGGCAGCAGUAGGGAAUCUUCCGCAAUGGGCGAAAGCCUGACGGAGCAACGCCGCGUGAGUGAUGAAGGUCUUCGGAUCGUAAAACUCUGUUAUUAGGGAAGAACAAAUGUGUAAGUAACUAUGCACGUCUUGACGGUACCUAAUCAGAAAGCCACGGCUAACUACGUGCCAGCAGCCGCGGUAAUACGUAGGUGGCAAGCGUUAUCCGGAAUUAUUGGGCGUAAAGCGCGCGUAGGCGGUUUUUUAAGUCUGAUGUGAAAGCCCACGGCUCAACCGUGGAGGGUCAUUGGAAACUGGAAAACUUGAGUGCAGAAGAGGAAAGUGGAAUUCCAUGUGUAGCGGUGAAUGCGCAGACAUAUGGAGGAUCACCAGUGGCGAAGGGCGACUUUCUGGUCUGAACUGACGCUGAUGUGCGAAGCCCGCGAAUCAAACAGGAUUAGAUACCCUGGAAGACCACGACGUAACGAUGAGUGUUU